This 465-nucleotide ribosomal RNA is filed under the name uncultured bacterium. RNAcentral describes it as "partial 16S ribosomal RNA". It matches the Rfam family "Bacterial small subunit ribosomal RNA", at positions 28 to 507 of the family's 1533-position model. The record is from RNAcentral.
GACGAACGCUGGCGGCGUGCUUAACACAUGCAAGUCGAACGGAAAGGCCCUGCUUGCAGGGUACUCGAGUGGCGAACGGGUGAGUAACACGUGGGUGAUCUGCCCUGCACUUCGGGAUAAGCCUGGGAAACUGGGUCUAAUACCGGAUAGGAGCCAAUUUCAGUGUGAUGGUUGGAAAGAUUUUUCGGUGUAGGGUGAGCUCGCGGCCUAUCAGCUUGUUGGUGGGGUAAUGGCCUACCAAGGCGGCGACGGGUAGCCGGCCUGAGAGGGUGGACGGCCACAUUGGGACUGAGAGACGGCCCAGACUCCUACGGGAGGAAGCAGUGGGGGAAAUUGCACAAUGGGCGCAAGCCUGAUGCAGCGACGCCGCGUGGGGGAUGACGGCCUUCGGGUUGUAAGCUCCUUUCGCUAGGGACGAAGCUUUUUGUGACGGUACCUGGAUAAGAAGCGCCGGCUAACUACGUG